Molecule: ribosomal RNA, 426 nt
Filed under: uncultured bacterium
Lineage: Bacteria
Description: bacterial SSU rRNA
Rfam family: Bacterial small subunit ribosomal RNA
Source: RNAcentral
AGCGAACGCUGGCGGCAGGCUUAACACAUGCAAGUCGAGCGGGCGUAGCAAUACGUCAGCGGCAGACGGGUGAGUAACGCGUGGGAACGUACCUUUUGGUUCGGAACAACACAGGGAAACUUGUGCUAAUACCGGAUAAGCCCUUACGGGGAAAGAUUUAUCGCCGAAAGAUCGGCCCGCGUCUGAUUAGCUAGUUGGUGAGGUAACGGCUCACCAAGGCGACGAUCAGUAGCUGGCUGAGAGGAUGAUCAGCCACAUUGGGACUGAGACACGGCCCAAACUCCUACGGGAGGCAGCAGUGGGGAAUAUUGGACAAUGGGCGCAAGCCUGAUCCAGCCAUGCCGCGUGAGUGAUGAAGGCCCUAGGGUUGUAAAGCUCUUUGUGCGGGAAGAUAAUGACGGUACCGCAAGAAUAAGCCCCGGCUAA